This 243-nucleotide ribosomal RNA is filed under the name uncultured bacterium. Its description in RNAcentral is "partial 16S ribosomal RNA". It matches the Rfam family "Bacterial small subunit ribosomal RNA", at positions 118 to 351 of the family's 1533-position model. The record is from RNAcentral.
UGAGCAAUCUGCCCUUCUCUUUGGAAUAAGCGUUGGAAACGACGUCUAAUGCCGAAUACGACCUCCUUUCGCAUGAUCGGAGGUGGAAAGCUCCGGCGGAGAAGGAUGAGCUCGCGGCCUAUCAGCUAGUUGGUGUGGGUAAUGGCCCACCAAGGCGACGACGGGUAGCCGGCCUGAGGAGGGCGACCGGCCACACUGGGACUGAGAUACCGGCCCAGACCUCCCGUACGGGGAGGCAGGACG